This 100-nucleotide non-coding RNA is filed under the name unclassified sequences. The record is from Rfam.
CAACAUAUUCCUACUGCUCUCAACCGAGACCUCUAUAGGCAGUCUAAUACUUCGUCUCUCAUAUCCGAAAGUGAAGGGAUUUUCGGAAAUAAGUAUCGCA